This 30-nucleotide non-coding RNA is filed under the name Rattus norvegicus (Norway rat). The record is from RNAcentral. Lineage: Eukaryota; Metazoa; Chordata; Mammalia; Rodentia; Muridae.
UCAGAAGAAAUACUACUACUCCAGAACCGA